AUGGAGGAUGCUAGUAUGGAGUUCCUGCAUGACGCCGUUGAAAGGUUCCCCCUGAGAGAGGAAUUCGCUGACAACUUUGAGCACCCAGAUCCGAUUCCCCUCGUCUUCUUGGCGGACGAUGUAGCCGGUCAUGUGGUUCUUGCGGAAUCUAAUACUGGGUCUGGUUGCGCGAAAAAGGUCGGAGACAAUGGAACACGUAGAGCGCGUGAAGGAGUUCGUCGUCGCCAUGAUGCAUUUCCGACAAGGUCGGCGCAAUCCACAAGCGCCUGGCUGGACAAAAAGGCUGCGGUUAGGCAGUGUGCCACCAAACCGGGCACCGUGUCCUUCUCGGAUGAGCGCUCUGGAGCAGUCGACCCGCAAGUAUGCAGAGGAGCUGAUAAGAGUGUAGUACGGCCUGAACUUGGUUUGAGUUUUGAUUCAUUGGGCGAGGCGCGCGACUUCUAUAAUUUGUACUCUUGGGAGAUCAGCUUUGGAAUAUGGUACGGGAAAAGCAGACUAAACGCCGAGAGGACUAAAGUACGGAAAAAGCAGACUAAAUGUGCGUACUCAUGGGGUUAUACCAGUGAGAUAGGGUGA
This 576-nucleotide ribosomal RNA is filed under the name Triticum aestivum (bread wheat). Its description in RNAcentral is "partial small subunit ribosomal RNA". Lineage: Eukaryota; Viridiplantae; Streptophyta; Magnoliopsida; Poales; Poaceae. The record is from RNAcentral.